UUUAUUACAUACAUUUUAACAUACAUCAUAUUGAUAUAUAUUACAUCUAUUUUUCAGUGAUAAUUAAAUAACUUACUAUAUACUAUAAAUCAAAAAAUAUAGUUCCUGAAUUUCAAGCACUUUUGUUAUUAUAAUGUGUGAGAUGAACCAGAAUAAUCAAACAUCAUUGAUGUAGAUCUUAAUGAGAAGUAAACAGUCAGCAUUUCUAUUAUGAAGUGUGAAUUUAGAGAAUUAAGGGGAUAAAUUCCAGCAUUGAUUGGAUUCUUGUAUCUUUAGAAUUAAAGAGGUAGUACACAUAAUCAGAAAACCAAUUUUGAUGUUCAUCUCAGUGAGAGGGGUGUGUAGUAAAACAGAAACCUAGUUAACAAUCAUGUUUUUCUAGGGAUAAAUUUGUGUGUAGGUGUCUUAAUCAUGCGAAGAUCAUCAAAAACUACAGAGGUUAGCAGAAACAGAUACAUUAGUUGCCUAUUUUAACCAUUGAAACAAUGUUUUUUAAUGUUCAGAAGAGGAUUUUUAAAUUUUUUCAAGAUAUGGAUCUUGAUUAUUGAUCUUUCUAUUGAUUUUGAAAGAUUUUUGUCUACAAAACUUGUUUUAUUAAUAGUGCUCAUAUUUUUUAUUAAUCAAAGAUCUAUUUGUUAGAAUUUAUAAGGUGCAUUAAAUAACAAAUUUUGUCACUGAAUCAAAAUAAUUUCAGUCCGAGUGAAAUUUUCCCUUUCGGGGCAGCCUCUGUAGUCUUGUUUUGGUAAAUAUAUGAUUUCAACAAAUCUUUUUGAAAAACUGAAAACAGCUCAUGAACCGUUUUUACUAACCUAUCUUCAUGGACCCUACUUGGAGAAUCAAUCUAUUAAGGAGCAAAAUGUCUAUUUCUACAUUCUCUUUUUUAAAAUUCCAUCUUAAUUUUUUCUCCUUCCUAUUUUCUUCUUAUGGGCCCUCAUUUAUCUAUUUCUCUUCUUUCUUCUCUUCUUCUAACCCAACUUCUACUCCUCAACUCCUUUCCUUUUUCCUUAUCGUGUAACGGGAAACUUUUUCUUCUCUUGUUCUAUUUCUUCCAUGCUUAGAUUCACAUCUCCUGCUAUGCUUUGUUUUCCAUAGGGAAUUUGUUCCUCUUGGGUUCAUUCAUUCUUUUAGAGAAAAUUGUAGACAGAAUAAGUAAAAUAUUAAUUAUCUGGCUAUGUAGUGAUGCACAAAUGUAAGAUGUGUGAACAUUUCACAACUGCAGCAUGUAGUUAUCCAUUGCUGAUGGCAAUAAGGCACAGUCUCUUUGGUAUAAGAUUCUUGUGUUCAAGAUGCAGCAUCAGUAAAUUCUUGAAUUUUUCAUUGUUUGGCAUCCCUGUGA
RNAcentral lists this long non-coding RNA (1336 nucleotides) under Equus asinus (donkey). RNAcentral's name for it is "lncRNA (ENSEASG00005028948.1)". The record is from RNAcentral. Lineage: Eukaryota; Metazoa; Chordata; Mammalia; Perissodactyla; Equidae.